RNAcentral lists this ribosomal RNA (253 nucleotides) under uncultured bacterium. Its description in RNAcentral is "partial 16S ribosomal RNA". It matches the Rfam family "Bacterial small subunit ribosomal RNA", at positions 524 to 776 of the family's 1533-position model. The record is from RNAcentral.
UACGUAGGGUGCGAGCGUUAAUCGGAAUUACUGGGCGUAAAGCGUGCGCAGGCGGUUUUGUAAGCCAGUUGUGAAAUCCCCGGGCUCAACCUGGGAACUGCAUUUGUGACUGCAAGGCUAGAGUACGGUAGAGGGGGAUGGAAUUCCGCGUGUAGCAGUGAAAUGCGUAGAUAUGCGGAGGAACACCGAUGGCGAAGGCAAUCCCCUGGGCCUGCACUGACGCUCAUGCACGAAAGCGUGGGGAGCAAACAGG